Molecule: non-coding RNA, 389 nt
Organism: Anaerolinea thermophila
Lineage: Bacteria; Bacillati; Chloroflexota; Anaerolineae; Anaerolineales; Anaerolineaceae
Rfam family: transfer-messenger RNA
About the family: Bacterial tmRNA, also known as 10Sa RNA or SsrA, is named for its dual tRNA and mRNA-like properties.
Source: Rfam
GGGGAUGAUCGGCUUCGACGGAAGAGGCUGGUCCCGGACUGCGAGCCGAGAGGUACCGAACUCGUAAAAUCAGUACACAAAAAAGUGCCAAUCGCACUUACUCCGCCCUCCCGCUGGCUGCCUAAUUCAGUCAGCGAUGGCAAUUCACCCUACGGGGUGACGUCUACCAACCCCGCUCCCUGGCCGGAGGUUGAGUAGGCGUGAGAAAGUCAGGGUGCCGUUCAGGAAGGUCGCGGACUGAACGAAAGAGGGCUUUCGGGCCUUAGCGACUGGUCGAGCACCUUUCCUGCUGAUCCUGAGGUCUCGACGAGAUAGAGGACCAGCUACGCUCGUAGAUGUCCGAGGGUCGAAUCUUUCGGACGCGGGUUCAAUUCCCGCCAUCUCCACUG